AAAUCCACGCCCUCCCCUCGUCCCCUCUCCACCAAAUCCAACCCGACCCCCUCUGAUCCACACCACCGAUCGAAGCCAGGCUCUCUCGUCCUCCUCACCAAGGUACGCGAGUUUCCGAUCGAUCCCCGCUCCGCUCGAUUUCUGUUCUUCUGUUAGUCGUCGUCGUCGUCGUUUGGAGUAGAUCUUCUGGCCGAGGAGGCCCUAUAUUGCUUGUAGAUCGAUCGCUGUCGCUUGUCGUAGUCCAAUUGAUUCUACAUACAUAGAUUAUCCCCCGCGAUUAUGCGUCGGUUAUCGAGUAG
RNAcentral lists this long non-coding RNA (299 nucleotides) under Hordeum vulgare. RNAcentral's name for it is "long non-coding RNA (HVUL_LNC014816)". Lineage: Eukaryota; Viridiplantae; Streptophyta; Magnoliopsida; Poales; Poaceae. The record is from RNAcentral.